Molecule: long non-coding RNA, 5001 nt
Filed under: Brassica napus (rape)
Lineage: Eukaryota; Viridiplantae; Streptophyta; Magnoliopsida; Brassicales; Brassicaceae
Description: long non-coding RNA (BNAP_LNC001877)
Source: RNAcentral
CUACAGAAAAAAAAAACAUGAUAACGUACACAUUAUUCAUUAGUCAAACCCUUACUUGCUAUAGUCUAUGAUUAUGUGUGUAUACGCGUCUCUUUCGUGUAUUCAUGUAUAGAUAUAAAAAUGCUCGAUCAAUUUAGUAACGGAAGUAACUAUUUAAAUCAAAUAUAAAUCGAAUUAAUUUUACACCACAACAAAGCAGUUCAGUUCUUAAUUUAUAGGUUUCUACUUCCUCUAUAUAAUGAAAAAAUCGGAAAGCAAUUCAAACUAUGAUAACAAUGUAUUACCUUUUGAGAGGACCCAAGCCUCGACUGCCAAGAACAAUAGAAUCGAGUUUUAGAUUUUCGACGGCAUCGCAAAGUUUCUCCCUUGGAUCUCCCCAAUACACUUUUGCCACCACCUUCACCUUUAAAUAAGAAAAAAACAUUUAAAGAAACAAACACAAAACUGAAACGACGACCAAAAACAAUAGUAGUUGUAAUAUUAAAAUACCUUCUUUGCCCUAGAGAGAGUAUCAAGAACAUUAAGAACCUCCGGAUCAUAAGCAAGUCCAUACUGUUUAGAGAAAUUAACCUCUCUAAAUUCUUCCAGGGGAAUCAAAGCUGCAGUAAUUAGUUAGUAAUUAUUUUAAAUGAUCACAAGUAAACUAAGAUAUUUUUUUCUUUCUAAAAAUAUGAAAAUAUGGUAAUUAUAUACAUACGUGAACCGGUUUCCUCAAAGAGGAUUUUGCGGGUGUGCUCAGCGUUUUGGGGUUGAACAUGAAUCAAAAUGAUGGUGUCUCCAUCGUCAAGGAGAUUCUCCGCCGUCCACCGAAGAGCCGAUUUGCUCGUUGGAGAGUAGUCCAUUCCCACACCCACCGUACGUGCUUUAACCAUUUCUAUUACUAUUUCUAUUUCUUUCUCUUUCUCGAUGAUUUCUAAGUGAGAUGUUAAGAAAGCAAGGUAGUUUGAUUUAUAGUAUAACCGGUUUGAUGGUUUGGAGAAUAAUUGGGCACACAGAAUUCUAAAUAUUUAAUGAUUGCUUUUUCUUUUGGCUGUUUUCAGAUUAUGAUGGGGAGAUUCUUGAAGUUUCUAGGUGAUCUGUCUUGCUUACUUUUCCUAAAACACUACAGAUAGUCAUUAGGACAUAAUUUUCUUUCACUUUUUUUUUUCUUUCUUCAUCACAAUAUGAAUUUUAAUUAAGUUUGUAUGUAUUAUCUUUGCAUAACACUGUGAAUUUUUAUUAACGUCUCAUUUCAUUUGUCAAGAGAAAUAUACACAUAUAUAUUGUUGAUAAAUAAAUUGUUUUAUUUUUAGCUACAUAUGUAACUUAAUUAUAUGUUAAUCAAUGUCUUAACUUGGUAGUGGGCAAAGAAAUGAUGUGUGUCACUGAAGACCCAUAGAAGAUAAGUAUUUGAUAUAUGGUGUGUUAAAGUGAAGUUAUCUUUAUAUCACUUGCUGUCCAAGAAAUUAAUAUUCUUUGUCAACUUUUAGCAAAGGCAAUUAUAUUCUUCAACUUGUAUUCUUUUAUAAGCUUUUAUUUACUCAUUAUUUAUUGUUCGAUGGAACUAGAUACCAACCUAUGAAAGCAACGUUUUUACAAGAAAAAACAUUUCAUGGCCGGGGGAAAUGAAAUAUCAGAAAGAAAAACUGAUAAUCAGAAGUCGUGGGCCGACAGUUAAUUAAUUAUAAGUUGUUUAAAUAUUCAUUGGGCUUAAUUACGAUGGCAUAGUGUAUAUUGCUAAUCAAACAAAUGUGAGUGAUAGUGGUUUUGAUGCUUGGGUCUAUAGUGAAGCCUUAUAAAAUGUGUUUUAUCCUUUAGGCUUCUGUAUGUAUAGGAGAGAAAAGGAAUACACAAUCUUAGGUACGAAGAUCUUUUGGUUAUAGACUAACCUAUCAAAGAGAUAUUUUAGGUAUGAUUCUAGCGUUUAGUAAUUGGUUGUUUGAACUUGAUUACAUUAGUUAAUAAUAUUAACUGUUACAGUCGUUUCUAGAAAUUGAACAACAGUAACAUACACAAUAUGAUUAUGUAAACCAUAAUGUCACAACAACUAUAUAGAAAACGAAAUGAAUCUCACUAUACGGUUUACAUUUUACGUGUUUUCAACUUUUUUGUAAGAAUUCAGAUUAUCAAUCAAUUCAGUAUAACGAUCGUCCAUAUUUUUUUUUUUUGUGCAACAAUGUUUUCAUUAAGAAAUUCAAACCAUUACAAGAAUAAAAACAACAUCGUACAAACCACGAUGUGCGAACUGAUCAAAUAAAACCCCGACAUUUAGUUCAAGGGAGUACAAGGAUAGAGACACAAACUUAAAAAAGUUUGAUAAAGCAUUAUGAAAGAUAUAGAAGUUGCCACCUACGAUCAAAUCUAAGGAAGACUCAAACCGCACUUCUAAAUCUUCAAGUAACACACGAUUAGUCACAAUAGCAUAUGACGUCGCAACACCAUCCAAAACCUCGACUCUCAUCGGAGAGAGGGUCGUUGUAUCUACCGGCCCCAAGUGGACCAUCACAUAAGAUAACAAACGGUUAGGAAAUUGGUAACUUUUCCCGGUUUUGAACACCGGAAGAGGAUCACCUCUUGUAAAGAGGGAUUUUGAUGGAACAAUUCUCUCCUUGGAGAAGGAGGAUGUGGAUAACGAUCUCUCUCGGCCCUGACGAGAGGAAGUUUGAAUGAACUUAACCAAAAUGGUUAAAGUUACUGGGCUGUUUGAUACAAGCUUUAGUCUUUCUGAAUUUUGAACCAAAUGAGUGCUUGAGCUUGUGAAUAUAGUAGCCAUGGAUGGUUGCUUGAUGAGCGUUAUGACCUCUGUCCAAAGACCAGAAAAAUCAACAGGAAACUUCGCUUGUACUUCCCUGCUGCAUAGCAAAUAACACUCGUUGAUGCUUUUGGACAGACCAACCAAAUUUAGCUUCCCCAUGAAGCUUUGUUCUGAUACAGACUGAGGAUAUUGAAUAUGAGGCUGGAGCGUAUCAAUCUCAGGUGGGUAGUAACCUGGAACAAGGUCAGGAGGGUCUGAUGGAUCCGGUGGUGGAAGCGGCUCCGAUGGUGACAUGGCCCAGAAGAGAAGAGCUUUGGCUUCUAACACCGACGGGAUUGAAAACAUGAGAAGUGAAAGGUACCAUUUAGUCGGUGGUCGGAGAUUGGAAGCCAAAGUCGACUGCGGAGUUUUGGUUACAGAUCUUCCCGGAGAGAGAGAAAGGUCCCUGUAGCAGAGAGAACAACUAGAGGAAAAAACACCAGAGGGGCAAUAGAGUUUAGAAACGCAGGAGACGAACCGCGGCGGGACACCAUUUUUGGAGAAUAAGAUUUCAGAUCCGGCGGUUGAUAGAUAGUUGAGCUUGAGAUCCGGCGGGUCUGCCUGCGUUUGUGGAGAAAGAUUGCUCGGUUGCAACCGUUGAAUCUUCUCGAGCAAGAGAGAGCAAAUAACUGUCGGAGGAACCAGAUCGAAAGAUGAGUACGGGAGCAGGUAAAUAGACUCGCUUGAGAAGGCCAUGGGAGCAUGACCAUUACAGCGGAAAAGAUCUCGUCGGCACAACAGGCCACCGGCGGAAGGAGAGAUAUGAUUCUUCGAGAGAGCUUGGUGUGACCCGAGAGAUAAGAGCGAUGCACAGAUCGGAACGGAGCCCAGGUCGGAGUCAGACCACCGAAGGCUACCGUUCAUAUUGAACGUUCGCCGGCGGCGCCUCGAAACCUGGGCCUGAGAGGUUUUUAAAUUAGGGCGAACUCGAAUAGCUUUUUAACGAUCGUCCAUAUAAUAUCCGAUUUUCAUUGAAGUUUGAAUUUGACAAUCACAUCAGAAAUAAGAGUGUUAAUUAGUUACAAGCAAAAGGUUAGGCCUUGACGUUCAUCGUGGAUAAUGGAAACGUCGCGUCCUCGAAGUCAAAGGUUUCUCAAUAAAUCAUCAAACCGAAAGUACGGAGGUUCGUGGAACUGACCGUCCGUCCCACGCGUUGUGUAGUUUCUUUUACAUUAAUUAACUUAUAAUCAUUGAUUGUUAUUGAUGGCAAAAAAAAAAAAAAUAGAUAAUUGUAAUAUACUAAGCAUUUUCAUGCACUAUGUUCAGUAAUACAAAUUUAAACAAUUUAUUUUAGAUUUUAUUAUUUUCUUACCAAUAUUUUAAUAAUUUUAUUUAUUUUAAAUAUAUAUAUAUAUAUAUAUAUAUUUUUUCGUAUGUUGACCAUCAUAUUAAUAUUGGUCCAGAUAUAUCAAAGGCAUAUAACAAAGCUUUUGAAAUGGAUGGCUAGAAAAUAGAUAAUUGUAGGAGUAGACCAAACUUCUUUUUUUUUGUCAAACGUUUUUACGUUUAUAGUCCCGUAACCGCCAGGCCGGUAUAUCUAACAUCUCUUUCUUUACUCACUGGUGGCGUGUACAGCGUGUGGGAUGUGUCCCAUUGUGUUCUCCGUUUCAUAGUCUAUGUGCUGUUUUUCAUGUGUUUUUUUACAUACAAACAAAAGUGAUAACUGAUAACAUUUUACUUUAGUUUAUUGAAAGACUAAUGUAUGAAUACAACAUACAAGUCGAAACGUAUACUCCAAAUUUUUUAAAACAAUCUACUUAAUUGGCUUUAACAACCGUGACUGGACAUGUUGCAUUUGUCACCACAUGAUUGCUCACACUUCCCAGCAACAUCCUACAGAAAAAAAAAACAUGAUAACGUACACAUUAUUCAUUAGUCAAACCCUUACUUGCUAUAGUCUAUGAUUAUGUGUGUAUACGCGUCUCUUUCGUGUAUUCAUGUAUAGAUAUAAAAAUGCUCGAUCAAUUUAGUAACGGAAGUAACUAUUUAAAUCAAAUAUAAAUCGAAUUAAUUUUACACCACAACAAAGCAGUUCAGUUCUUAAUUUAUAGGUUUCUACUUCCUCUAUAUAAUGAAAAAAUCGGAAAGCAAUUCAAACUAUGAUAACAAUGUAUUACCUUUUGAGAGGACCCAAGCCUCGACUGCCAAGAACAAUAGAAUCGAGUUUUAGAUUUUCGACGGCAUCGCAAAGUUUCUCCCUUGGAUCUCCCCAAUACACUUUUGCCACC